RNAcentral lists this transfer RNA (73 nucleotides) under Paramuricea clavata. It matches the Rfam family "tRNA". Rfam says of the family: Transfer RNA (tRNA) molecules are approximately 80 nucleotides in length. The record is from Rfam by way of RNAcentral. Lineage: Eukaryota; Metazoa; Cnidaria; Anthozoa; Malacalcyonacea; Plexauridae.
GACCGCGUAGCUCAGUUGGCAGAGUAUUGGGCUAGUAUUCCAAAGUUGGUAGGUUCGAUUCCCACCGUGGUCA